RNAcentral lists this ribosomal RNA (434 nucleotides) under uncultured bacterium. Its description in RNAcentral is "partial 16S ribosomal RNA". It matches the Rfam family "Bacterial small subunit ribosomal RNA", at positions 29 to 506 of the family's 1533-position model. The record is from RNAcentral.
AGCGAACGCUGGCGGCAGGCUUAACACAUGCAAGUCGAGCGGGCAUCUUCGGAUGUCAGCGGCAGACGGGUGAGUAACACGUGGGAACGUACCCUUCGGUUCGGAACAACUCUGGGAAACUGGAGCUAAUACCGGAUACGCCCUUAUGGGGAAAGGUUUACUGCCGAAGGAUCGGCCCGCGUCUGAUUAGCUAGUUGGUGGGGUAACGGCCUACCAAGGCGACGAUCAGUAGCUGGUCUGAGAGGAUGAUCAGCCACACUGGGACUGAGACACGGCCCAGACUCCUACGGGAGGCAGCAGUGGGGAAUAUUGGACAAUGGGCGCAAGCCUGAUCCAACCAUGCCGCGUGAGUGAUGAAGGCCUUAGGGUUGUAAAGCUCUUUUGUCCGGGACGAUAAUGACGGUACCGGAAGAAUAAGCCCCGGCUAACUUCGU